Molecule: ribosomal RNA, 165 nt
Filed under: Boesenbergia alba
Lineage: Eukaryota; Viridiplantae; Streptophyta; Magnoliopsida; Zingiberales; Zingiberaceae
Also listed under: 1 other name
Description: 5.8S ribosomal RNA
Rfam family: 5.8S ribosomal RNA
About the family: 5.8S ribosomal RNA (5.8S rRNA) is a component of the large subunit of the eukaryotic ribosome. It is transcribed by RNA polymerase I as part of the 45S precursor that also contains 18S and 28S rRNA.
Source: RNAcentral
UCAAAUGACUCUCGGCAAUGGAUAUCUCGGCUCUUGCAUCGAUGAAGAACGUAGUGAAAUGCGAUACUUGGUGUGAAUUGCAGAAUCUCGUGAACCAUUGAGUCUUUGAACGCAAGUUGUGCCCGAGGCCUUGUGGCCGAGGGCACGCCUGCUUGGGCGUCAUGG